UGCGUCCAGGACGCGCGCGCGCGCACGCACGUCGGCGUAGGCACGCAACGCGCGCGCCCACGCCCACAGUAAAUUCCCAAGGAACAUUCCUCAAAGUGAAAGUGAGCAUCUGUUUCGCUCCUUGAGUCUCUUGAUGAAACAAAGGCAGCAUUCAUCAUAAACACUACGCAAGACAUGAAACUGCUCCGCGGCGGCCAGGAGGCAAAGCGGCCUGUAAACACGCAAUCGUCGUCAAUACAGUGCACCGUCAAAACGUCCUAAAUAUUACAACAUUGCAAGCCGGAAAGGACCCACUGCUGGCGACCGCGGCAGAAUGAAUGGAAGAACAUUGAGCAGAUUCCAACACAGUGUGCGCUAGUUUAGCCGGCCAGCUGGCAAACUAGAAAGGACGCAGCUGGGCCUAGCCAGCGAGGAUUUGGAUUUACGCCACCGAAAAAAGUGUAAACCGGCCCAAGUUCUGCCUUCCGUAACGAUACGGCGAUGGAUCCUGGUUACAGGAAGUCAUUUUUUUAAAAUUCUCUGUUAAGAAAGACUAUAUUAGUGCUGUACUGAGGAGCGCAGACCGUUUUUAUGUACAGCACUGUAGAUCUGUCUGUCAUAUACUGCCCCCCAGGUGGCCAAGGUGGGCACAACAGAAGGAGCCACACAAUGCCUAUUGAAUUGAUGCAAACAGCGACAAAAACUGUUACAUUUUUUUUGUUUCGAUUAAAUUGUCAUUGUUUUUUUUUAUUAUAUAAAGAACAAUAUUAUAAAGUGCAAUUUUCUUGUAUGUCAAUGCACCACUACAGUCAGAUAACAAAAAAAUGGUACUGUAUGCAUGUAUGAUGUAUUCUUUGCACACACGCGUACCUCGUGCGAUGAACGCUCAAGACGUGUGGCGAACAUUCACACCAUCGCCCGGAGAUGUCGGCAAAUCUCGCGAGCAUUUAAAGCGAAAUAUUGUGAUCGAAGGACUUUGUUCGCAUAUAAAAAGUUGUGUCACUGGAGUGCCCGCCCUGCUAUCAAGUGUGAAAUUAAACAACCAAGUCAAUCUUUAGUGAAGCCACUGAGAACUAACUACAGUAGGCUCGUUCCAUUUAUUUAUUUAUUUAUUUAUUUUGCCAUUUUGUAGGAGAGUGAUUUAAAGUUUUAU
Long non-coding RNA from Phyllopteryx taeniolatus (common seadragon), 1132 nucleotides. RefSeq lists it as uncharacterized. Lineage: Eukaryota; Metazoa; Chordata; Actinopteri; Syngnathiformes; Syngnathidae. The transcript is spliced from 3 exons. The record is from RefSeq and is a predicted model, not a curated record.